Molecule: small nucleolar RNA, 207 nt
Filed under: Labrus bergylta (ballan wrasse)
Lineage: Eukaryota; Metazoa; Chordata; Actinopteri; Labriformes; Labridae
Description: Small nucleolar RNA U3 (ENSLBEG00000002183.1)
Rfam family: Small nucleolar RNA U3
About the family: Small nucleolar RNAs (snoRNAs) are involved in the processing and modification of rRNA in the nucleolus. There are two main classes of snoRNAs: the box C/D class, and the box H/ACA class. U3 snoRNA is a member of the box C/D class.
Source: Rfam by way of RNAcentral
AAAACUAUACUUUCAGGGAUCAUUUCUUUAGUCGUUGACCUGAGAAAUGUGUUUCUAAAGUGUUUGGUCUUGCUGUCUACGUUGAAGAGUUCAGAUGUUUCUUUCAGAGCAGGAAACUGGUGGUAUGACUUUCUUUCUACUCCAUUGUUGAAGAUUGUUCAGAGUUUCUCACAGAUCCUCUGAUGGAGGAAACAUGAUGUGAGUGGA